GAUGAACGCUGGCGGCGUGCCUAAUACAUGCAAGUCGAGCGAACAGACGAGGAGCUUGCUCCUCUGACGUUAGCGGCGGACGGGUGAGUAACACGUGGAUAACCUACCUAUAAGACUGGGAUAACUUCGGGAAACCGGAGCUAAUACCGGAUAAUAUAUUGAACCGCAUGGUUCAAUAGUGAAAGACGGUUUUGCUGUCACUUAUAGAUGGAUCCGCGCCGCAUUAGCUAGUUGGUAAGGUAACGGCUUACCAAGGCAACGAUGCGUAGCCGACCUGAGAGGGUGAUCGGUCACUCUGGAACUGAGACACGGUCCAGACUCCUACGGGAGGCAGCAGUAGGGAAUCUUCCGCAAUGGGCGAAAGCUUGACGGAGCAACGCCGCGUGAGUGAUGAAGGUCUUCGGAUCGUAAAACUCUGUUAUUAGGGAAGAACAAAUGUGUAAGUAACUAUGCACGUCUUGACGGUACCUAAUCAGAAAGCCACGGCUAACUACGUG
This 497-nucleotide ribosomal RNA is filed under the name uncultured bacterium. Its description in RNAcentral is "partial 16S ribosomal RNA". It matches the Rfam family "Bacterial small subunit ribosomal RNA", at positions 28 to 507 of the family's 1533-position model. The record is from RNAcentral.